AGUGAACGCUGGCGGUAGGCCUAACACAUGCAGGUCGAACGGCAGCACAGUAAGAGCUUGCUCUUACGGGUGGCGAGUGGCGGACGGGUGAGGAAUACAUCGGAAUCUACUUUUUCGUGGGGGAUAACGUAGGGAAACUUACGCUAAUACCGCAUACGACCUACGGGUGAAAGCAGGGGAUCUUCGGACCUUGCGCGAUUGAAUGAGCCGAUGUCGGAUUAGCUAGUUGGCGGGGUAAAGGCCCACCAAGGCGACGAUCCGUAGCUGGUCUGAGAGGAUGAUCAGCCACACUGGAACUGAGACACGGUCCAGACUCCUACGGGAGGCAGCAGUGGGAAUACUGGACAAUGGGCGCAAGCCUGAUCCAGCCAUACCGCGUGGGUGAAGAAGGCCUUCGGGUUGUAAAGCCCUUUUGUUGGGAAAGAAAAGCAGCAGGUUAAUACCCCGCUGUUCUGACGGUACCCAAAGAAUAAGCACCGGCUAACUUCGUG
RNAcentral lists this ribosomal RNA (491 nucleotides) under uncultured bacterium. RNAcentral describes it as "partial 16S ribosomal RNA". It matches the Rfam family "Bacterial small subunit ribosomal RNA", at positions 29 to 507 of the family's 1533-position model. The record is from RNAcentral.